CAGUCGCCGCGGGAAUACGGAGGGCGCGAGCGUUACCCGGAUUUACUGGGCGUAAAGGGCGUGUAGGCGGCCUGGGGCGUCCCAUGUGAAAGGCCACGGCUCAACCGUGGAGGAGCGUGGGAUACGCUCAGGCUAGAGGGUGGGAGAGGGUGGUGGAAUUCCCGGAGUAGCGGUGAAAUGCGCAGAUACCGGGAGGAACGCCGAUGGCGAAGGCAGCCACCUGGUCCACUUCUGACGCUGAGGCGCGAAAGCGUGGGGAGCAAACAGGAUUAGAUACCCCUGUAGUACCUGUCUCUUAUAC
Molecule: ribosomal RNA, 301 nt
Filed under: uncultured bacterium
Lineage: Bacteria
Description: partial 16S ribosomal RNA
Rfam family: Bacterial small subunit ribosomal RNA
Source: RNAcentral